RNAcentral lists this ribosomal RNA (305 nucleotides) under uncultured bacterium. Its description in RNAcentral is "partial 16S ribosomal RNA". It matches the Rfam family "Bacterial small subunit ribosomal RNA", at positions 335 to 656 of the family's 1533-position model. The record is from RNAcentral.
GGGCCUACGGGGGGCAGCAGUGGGGGAUAUUGCACAAUGGGGGGAACCCUGAUGCAGCGACGCCGCGUGGGUGAAGGAGUGCUUCGGCAUGUAAAGCCCUAUCGGCAGGGGAGAAGCAAGACGGUACCUGACUAAGAAGCCCCGGCUAACUACGUGCCAGCAGCCGCGGUAAUACGUAGGGGGCGAGCGUUAUCCGGAUUCACUGGGUGUAAAGGGAGCGUAGACGGCCAUGCAAGCCAGGGGUGAAAGCCCGGGGCCCAACCCCGGGACUGCCCUUGGAACUGUGCGGCCAGCGUGCGGGGGGG